GUGGAUUAGAUACCCUGGUAGUCCACGCCGUAAACGAUGAUAACUAGCUGUUGGGGCUCUUGGAGCUCCGGUGGCGCAGCUAACGCAUUAAGUUAUCCGCCUGGGGAGUACGGCCGCAAGGUUAAAACUCAAAGGAAUUGACGGGGGCCUGCACAAGCGGUGGAGCAUGUGGUUUAAUUCGAAGCAACGCGCAGAACCUUACCAGCGUUUGACAUCGCAGGACGGUUUCCAGAGAUGGAUUCCUUCUCGCAAGAGACUUGCAGACAGGUGCUGCACGGCCGUCGACAGCU
RNAcentral lists this ribosomal RNA (290 nucleotides) under uncultured bacterium. RNAcentral's name for it is "partial 16S ribosomal RNA". It matches the Rfam family "Bacterial small subunit ribosomal RNA", at positions 773 to 1060 of the family's 1533-position model. The record is from RNAcentral.